This 74-nucleotide transfer RNA is filed under the name Chloroflexota bacterium. RNAcentral describes it as "Chloroflexi bacterium (groundwater metagenome) tRNA-Gln". It matches the Rfam family "tRNA". Rfam says of the family: Transfer RNA (tRNA) molecules are approximately 80 nucleotides in length. RNAcentral also lists the same sequence under 1 other name. The record is from RNAcentral. Lineage: Bacteria; Bacillati; Chloroflexota.
UGGGGAUUCGUCUAGCGGUAGGACGGCAGACUCUGGAUCUGCAAGCCCUGGUUCGAAUCCAGGAUCCCCAGCCA